AACGAACGCUGGCGGCGUGCCUAACACAUGCAAGUCGAACGAGACCUUCGGGUCUAGUGGCGCACGGGUGCGUAACGCGUGGGAAUCUGCCCUUGGGUUCGGAAUAACAGUUGGAAACGACUGCUAAUACCGGAUGAUGACGUAAGUCCAAAGAUUUAUCGCCCAAGGAUGAGCCCGCGUAGGAUUAGCUAGUUGGUGAGGUAAAGGCUCACCAAGGCGACGAUCCUUAGCUGGUCUGAGAGGAUGAUCAGCCACACUGGGACUGAGACACGGCCCAGACUCCUACGGGAGGCAGCAGUGGGGAAUAUUGGACAAUGGGCGAAAGCCUGAUCCAGCAAUGCCGCGUGAGUGAUGAAGGCCUUAGGGUUGUAAAGCUCUUUUACCCGGGAUGAUAAUGACAGUACCGGGAGAAUAAGCUCCGGCUAACUCCGUG
Molecule: ribosomal RNA, 433 nt
Filed under: uncultured bacterium
Lineage: Bacteria
Description: partial 16S ribosomal RNA
Rfam family: Bacterial small subunit ribosomal RNA
Source: RNAcentral